This 999-nucleotide non-coding RNA is filed under the name Drosophila sechellia. RNAcentral's name for it is "Eukaryotic small subunit ribosomal RNA". It matches the Rfam family "Eukaryotic small subunit ribosomal RNA", at positions 1 to 921 of the family's 1831-position model. The record is from Rfam by way of RNAcentral. Lineage: Eukaryota; Metazoa; Arthropoda; Insecta; Diptera; Drosophilidae.
AUUCUGGUUGAUCCUGCCAGUAGUUAUAUGCUUGUCUCAAAGAUUAAGCCAUGCAUGUCUAAGUACACACGAAUUAAAAGUGAAACCGCAAAAGGCUCAUUAUAUCAGUUAUGGUUCCUUAGAUCGUUAACAGUUACUUGGAUAACUGUGGUAAUUCUAGAGCUAAUACAUGCAAUUAAAACAUGAACCUUAUGGGACAUGUGCUUUUAUUAGGCUAAAACCAAGCGAUCGCAAGAUCGUUAUAUUGGUUGAACUCUAGAUAACAUGCAGAUCGUAUGGUCUUGUACCGACGACAGAUCUUUCAAAUGUCUGCCCUAUCAACUUUUGAUGGUAGUAUCUAGGACUACCAUGGUUGCAACGGGUAACGGGGAAUCAGGGUUCGAUUCCGGAGAGGGAGCCUGAGAAACGGCUACCACAUCUAAGGAAGGCAGCAGGCGCGUAAAUUACCCACUCCCAGCUCGGGGAGGUAGUGACGAAAAAUAACAAUACAGGACUCAUAUCCGAGGCCCUGUAAUUGGAAUGAGUACACUUUAAAUCCUUUAACAAGGACCAAUUGGAGGGCAAGUCUGGUGCCAGCAGCCGCGGUAAUUCCAGCUCCAAUAGCGUAUAUUAAAGUUGUUGCGGUUAAAACGUUCGUAGUUGAACUUGUGCUUCAUACGGGUAGUACAACUUACAAUUGUGGUUAGUACUAUACCUUUAUGUAUGUAAGCGUAUUACCGGUGGAGUUCUUAUAUGUGAUUAAAUACUUGUAUUUUUUCAUAUGUUCCUCCUAUUUAAAAACCUGCACUAGUGCUCUUAAACGAGUGUUAUUGUGGGCCGGUACUAUUACUUUGAACAAAUUAGAGUGCUUAAAGCAGGCUUCAAAUGCCUGAAUAUUCUGUGCAUGGGAUAAUGAAAUAAGACCUCUGUUCUGCUUUCAUUGGUUUUCAGAUCAAGAGGUAAUGAUUAAUAGAAGCAGUUUGGGGGCAUUAGUAUUACGACGCGAGAGGUGAAAUUGAA